Molecule: unclassified non-coding RNA, 315 nt
Filed under: Hevea brasiliensis (rubber tree)
Lineage: Eukaryota; Viridiplantae; Streptophyta; Magnoliopsida; Malpighiales; Euphorbiaceae
Source: RNAcentral
UUUCCGCCGCCGCCGAGCGUGCUGACGUAGAUGCCUUCCGGCCCGCAAUGAACGGUGUGAGGCCGCGAGUAACCGGUCUUCUUGAAGAUCUCUUCGGGCUCGAUGAUCUUGUGCAUCUUCGCCUUGGUCGGAUCAGGCUUGGUAUCCACGAUGUAGAUGCGCGAGGACCGGAUUCCGGGGAUGAUCAGAUAGCCCGGUCAGCGGCGACAAAGCCGACGAGCAGGCGUUCCAGCCGAAAUGAUGAAACUCGUCGCCCUUGUUCGGCAUCGUCACCGUGUGGACGACCUGACUGUAGCUCGGCGAGCCCGGCUUCAC